ACGUAGGGUGCGAGCGUUAAUCGGAAUUACUGGGCGUAAAGGGUGUGUAGGCGGACGUAUUAGUCUCGUGUCAAAGCCUCUGGCCUAACCAGAGAUCCGCACGGGAAACGGUACGACUAGGAGGGUGCGAGAGGUGAAUGGAACUCACGGUGUAGGGGUGAAAUCCGUUGAUAUCGUGGGGAACGCCAAAAGCGAAGGCAAUUCACUGGCGCAUACCUGACGCUGAAACACGAAAGCCAGGGUAUCGAAUGGGA
RNAcentral lists this ribosomal RNA (254 nucleotides) under uncultured prokaryote. Its description in RNAcentral is "partial 16S ribosomal RNA". It matches the Rfam family "Bacterial small subunit ribosomal RNA", at positions 525 to 777 of the family's 1533-position model. The record is from RNAcentral.